CGAMUUYGAGUUUGAUCCUGGCUCAGAUUGAACGCUGGCGGCAUGCCCUACACAUGCAAGUCGAACGGCAGCACGGGGGCAACCCUGGUGGCGGGUGGCGAACGGGUGAGUAAUGCAUCGGAACGUGCCCAGUAGKGGGGGAUAACCCGGCGAAAGCCGGGCUAAUACCGCAUACGACCUAUGGGUGAAAGCGGGGGACCGUAAGGCCUCGCGCUAUUGGAGCGGCCGAUGUCUGAUUAGCUAGCUGGCGGGGUAAGAGCCCACCAAGGCGACGAUCAGUAGCUGGUCUGAGAGGACGACCAGCCACACUGGGACUGAGACACGGCCCAGACUCCUACGGGAGGCAGCAGUGGGGAAUUUUGGACAAUGGGCGCAAGCCUGAUCCAGCCAUGCCGCGUGCGGGAAGAAGGCCUUCGGGUUGUAAACCGCUUUUGGCAGGAACGAAACGGCGCGAGCCAAUACCUCGCGCUAAUGACGGUACCUGCAGAAUAAGCACCGGCUAACUACGUGCCAGCAGCCGCGGUAAUAC
RNAcentral lists this ribosomal RNA (529 nucleotides) under uncultured Methylibium sp. RNAcentral describes it as "bacterial SSU rRNA". It matches the Rfam family "Bacterial small subunit ribosomal RNA", at positions 1 to 526 of the family's 1533-position model. Lineage: Bacteria; Pseudomonadati; Pseudomonadota; Betaproteobacteria; Burkholderiales; Sphaerotilaceae. The record is from RNAcentral.